Long non-coding RNA from Gasterosteus aculeatus aculeatus (three-spined stickleback), 7794 nucleotides. NCBI's taxonomy places the organism in Eukaryota, Metazoa, Chordata, Actinopteri, Perciformes, Gasterosteidae. The record is from Ensembl.
ACCAAAUAAAUAGAUCAUGGCUGGCUAGGUGGGCAGAAUUUGAUAUUGAUAGAAGUAAUAUGACCACAUAUCCUCGUGCUGCCAAUAAAUGAUUUUCUAUCUAAAGUUUUGGGUGAUAAUGUUGGAUGUUUUACUCCAGGUAGAUACAAAACUCACAACAUGGCGAGGUAAGGUGCAGCAAUUUAGUGAACGUUCAGUGUGUGUGUGUGGAUGUGUUUUUCUUUCUUGGUGUAUGUUUGAGUUGCAGUAGUUCAGGCAGGUCAAGAGACGGAUCCCUCAUAGUGAAUUUGGACAGACGGGAGUCUGAGAGGCAGUUCAAAGACCAAAGGCCCACAGGCAACAACCAACACUCAGACCGCUGCCUGUGUGUGCAUGUUUGUGUGUGUGUGUGUGUGUGUGUGUGUGUGUGUGUGUGUGUGUGUGUGUGUGUGUGUGUGUGUGUGUGUGUGGGAGACAGAGAGACAGUCAGACGGAGGCCGUGUUAGCGCUGAUUAGCGAUUAGCAGGUCUUGAGGCCGACGGCGCGGCUGAUCAGUAUUUCCUCUGUGUCGGAGCUUUAGGGAACAAAUCCCGACAUUAACCCGGCUCUCAUCUGGCUGGCAGAGCGCUAGCAGCAGCCUGCCAGCCAUAGGCCGAACAUCCAGCUACAACCGCCAGCUACAGCGCGAGAAUCCUCCUCUGACGGCGCCUCAUUGUUUGUCUCAUUUCAAAUCAAAACCCCAUUUGAUCACGAUCGAGCUUCUAAUGUUGCUCCCGACAUCAAGGUUGAUGGGCCGUGACAUGCGAUUUUUUUAAUAAGUAUAAAGUUUGUCAUAGUCUGCUCGAGAAGAAAAUGACAUUCAAGCAGUUCCCCUUGAGGGCGAGGCAAGUGGAUUCCUAUAGUUCUAUUAAAAGCAUAAUCCCCUUGAAGAGCAAUAACUGGAGCAAAAUGUUCCUUUUAAGAGCUGAUGUGUCUCUCACAAGACACCGGAGGAAUACUGACACGUAAUUGUUCCGGCUUCGGCUUCAUCACUGAGAGCCGAGGUCGAUUCCGCAGCGCUCGAAUGAGGCCGGCGCCAUCACAGAUUUCCACUGGGGAGGGUCAGCUCAUCAGAGAGCAUCUGCAAUGCAGAUUCUCUAGUUUUGAACAGGUUCCUUGGAAGGUCAGAGACCAUCAGUACUUUUCCACCUGGGGGGAAUCACGUGGUAAGUCUUCAAAAUAAGCCUCUGACCCCUGAAACAUCUGGACAGGUUAAUAAAAGUCCCUGAGCACCAAUGUACUUGAAUAACAAGGCACGUUAACCACUAACUUAAUUCAUUAGUGAAUCGAUGUAGGUGGAAAAGUGUCAACUGGCGAUAGUCAAGAAGGCUUUUUAACAGAUGUUUGAAUAUGUAUUUUUCCUUUACAUUUUUGAAAGCUCUUGAUUGAAACUUUUAUAUAGAACAUGGAUAAACCAAGUGCUUCUACUGCAAAAUGGGCCUUUCCUGGUCCCAGUGUUGUUUAUCGCAGCAGUUUAUUGUUGAUUGCUUUUGAUUGAUUAUAUUUGUAAUAUAAUAUUUUAAAAAGUCGGUUGCAGCAUUUUAAUUUUCUUUUUGUGCUAAGUUGUGUCUCUGUGGCAAGAUCAAACUCACCAAUCUGACUGUGGUCUGUUAAAAUAGAAAUAAUUUUUAAUAACUAGGUUGUCAAUUGUCUCUUGUGUAUUUACAUGAUAUUAUUUGCACUCUCAACGAUGUUUAUUUUUUUAGGGGAUAAUGAAUCAUAAUAAUGACAUUGUCAGACUUUGUUAAGAACAUUCCCCAACGUUUCUGAACGUUUCGCAAUGUACAAAAUUGCUUCUCCAUUUUUAUUUUCAAAUAAUUUAGUUUGGGCUAAAGUUUGUGUCGAUUGCCUUUUGUUUGUAAAUCUAUUCUAGGUUCUAUUGAACCUCUUUUUUAAAUACAAUUCAUUUUUUGUGAGUGCCAGUGAACCUAAGCAGCCUGUUGUGGUCUGACAGCUGACGGACUGGAGUCUUAUUGGUGGUGACGCGUAACAAUCUUCAGAAGAAGUCCCGCCCACUGUGGCCAGACCGAGCAGAGCCAGUCGAGCUGCUGUCAGCUGCUCAUCAAAUAGUCCUUUUCAUGUUUCCCUUUUUUCUCUGUUUGUGUGUGUGAAAAAGAAGAGUGUAUUCCAGUACACACACACACACACACACACACACACACCAAUGGAGCUUGUUGGUCUUAUAUAGCUGCUGUAAUUUUUUUUUCCUCCUUUUUUUUUUCACACACGCACACCGAUCCAUCCACCAACCCCGAUGUUGUCUGCCAGGAGGGCAACAUCAAAGAGACUGGCUGUGGGCAUGAGGCGCCUGGAGACUAGUGGGGGCCUGUGGAGUGAAGCGUGGGCCUGCAGAGGCUUCUGGAAAAGUCAAGUGUCCACAGGGAGCCUGGAGAACGAGGUGGGCCAGGAGAGCGAGGCGGGGGCGCAGGGGGGGUGGGGAGGGAGCGAGGUGUGGUAAGGCGUGCGGCGUGGAGCGGUUUCAUGAAAAGAGGCCGACGGUGGUCCUGCAGGGCGCGGUGGGCCUCGGGACUGCGGUCCAAGUCCAUGAAGGGAGGAUGGCGGUGGUCCUGGAGAUUGAGCGCAUCUCUGCAGAGCCUGAUGCAGGUGGAAAAAAAACACUUUAAAACUCCACACGUGUAGUGGAAAAGAAAAGUGAGCGGCGUGAAGUCUCACCAUGCGAGACGGCUUGGUGAAGUUUCUCAGAGUUGAGGGCCACAGCUGUCAGAGUGGCGCUCUUAAAUCCAGCUGUUGCUCUUUGUGACAAUGGAGCGUGCGUGCCGCUUUCUUGUCUGCCCUGGAUGGUUUAACAAGCAGAGAAAGCACUGGCGUCCCUGUGAACAAUACCUUUCCUCAAGGAGAUAAUGUCCUGUGUUUAUUGGCUGCAGGCAGAGGAGGGAGGCGAGCCUGCGGGAGGCGGUCAGGAGAGCGGGAGGAGGUGCUGGGAGGCGGGCAGGUAGAACACAGGACUGCCGCUGUUGCCUCUGCGGCAGAGAUCGGCUUCUUGCUCUCAUCUGCCCGUCAGAGCCUUCCUCUGGGCUGCCAGUCAAGAUGAUGGACAGCUGCCGGCGGAUGAAGGGACCGGGCCCGAUUGCACAAUGUUACCUGUGAUUUAUCUGCCUUUGUAUUUGAAACGUUUUUGAAUCCGUUUGUUUUCCUAAAGACAUACAUGGUUGUGUUUGUAAAUGUUUUGCUUGAAAAUCACUUUUAAAACUUUUAGCCGUGUACUUGUUUCAGGGGCGUAAAUGUUUGUUGGUCUUGUUGGAGAAUUCAUUUCAUUCAUGAACCAACAUAUAUGUCUGUUCAACGAAAUAUACAAACUGUUCCUAAAUAUCCUUUUCUUCUUUGUCAAAAAAGAGCUUUUUUUCUGUAUCCAAAAUAGUGACAGUCAACAGUUUCCUUCUAAAUGUGUUUAAUGUGUGACACAAAAUUGAAGAACUGGCCCAUCAACCCGUAGUGAACUCUCUCACUUUCAGUAACAGGCCGUUUCUGGAAACAAUUGCAAAGACUAACAACAUUUCUUCCUGGCGACUGGACCGGACGUGAGGUCUUGUUGGACACAAACUACAGAUUGUAUUUUAUGAAUCAGAAUCCGCACAAUAAGUGUGAAAUUGUUAAUUUUUAAAUCCCUUUGUCAACCAUCUGGCUGCAAUAGAUCAACUAAUGAUACUGUAAUUAGUGAAAAAUGAAUGUGUGAAUGUCUUUGUGUGCGUGUGUGUGUGUGGAGGAUCAGUAUUCUAAUGAGGACAGACAAAAGAAGUCUGUAGCUCUGAGCCAAUUGGACGGCGGAGCACAGCAUCAGAGAGAGGAAGCCGGGGAGGGGAGGGAGCUAGUUGGGGGUUAGGGAGGGUUCAGGCUGGUGGCAGUCAGUGCCUCAGGCGGGGUUUUGGGGUCAGGCCCCCCCAGACGGCCACACCGGCCCCCCCGGGCCCCGGGAGGGGGGACACCAGGACCACGCUGGCCAAGGGAGGGGCACUUAAUUAGGGCAACGUUCAAAAUUUUAGGCUGGCGCUUCAGAAGAGAAGGCCACCUGAUACCGAUACACCUCAAACAUCCUCCUCCACACAUAUUAAAUGCACCUACUGCUAAUUGACACACUCGAGGGUUGGAAAGGUUUUGGACGAAAACGAUGCUAGUUUUUAAUGUUAGGGAACAUUUUAUUUUUCAUUAUUUCCAAGUGAGAUUCACUCAAAAUUCACUCAGUAUUUACUUUCUAAAUAGUCUACUGCUCAUGACGAUAAAUAGGUUAUUAUUAUUAUUAUUAAUGCAUUAUAAUUACUGAUAUUAUUAUCGUUAUUACUGAUAUCAUUACUACAAAUUCUAGCUGUUUCAAUGUAAUGAAUCGAGGAAUCAAACAAAGAUACUUUAGAGGCUCAAAGUCCACAUGUUAACAAACAGCACAUAACGGCAAAUUGCUCUGUGGUUAGUGAUUUUGGAUCCAAUCUUUUACCGAUCCGGUUUCUUAACGUCUAACUGAGUAAAAAAACGUUAUGUUUUACUGGCUUUGCCCGGCUUGUUUGUCCCAGAAGUGUCCGUCUGUCGGAUUUUUCCUGGCCAGUUUCAUGCAGUAAGUAGCAUUAGCAUGCCUAACAUCUCAGCUGCUCCCAGGACUCCCAGGAAAAGCCUCCCAGUCUCUGCUCUCCUCGUUCGUACGACAGUUUGGGCGUCAUCGGAAAAAGCAUCUAAAUACAUUUCAAGCUCUUUAUCAUCUUUCACUUUAUUUUUCAAGCUGAAAUACAUGGAAUCCUUUUAGGAUUCUGUGCUGGAUCCAGGCAUUCCUCGCUGAUCUGCAGCAGUCGAGCUGUUCGUAGUCUCACUGUUGCAGGAGAUUUAGUGUAAUUAAUUGGUUCUUCUGGGUGUCAAGUGGUUUCAUCUCAUUUCAGUCGCCUUGUACAUCAAGCAGCCAUGUCUGCACCUGUUUCCAGCUCUCAGCAGCUGCCAACUGGGCCUCCCAAACCACUAUUGAUCCCAUCAGAUCACGCACACACACACUCAGAUGUAAAUGCUUUAUCCGUAUCUGCUAAUUAAAUUUGUCAGAGCGAGCCUCGAGUAUUACAGAAGUUCAGCAGGGUUUACUCUUAAUUUGUUAUUGAGAUGUUCUGCUUCAGUAACCAGCCGUCUUUAGGAGAACAUCACAAGUCAGAUUUAAAGUCUCGCAUGAUGACAAAGAAGAAAGAUGAACUAAAUGUACAUCAGCAGCUUGUUGUAGGCUCACUUGGUGCAUUAUCGAGGUUUGUACUGCCCGGCUCUUUCAGAUGAUAUCUGGAAGGUUCGGUAGAUUUAUUCUGGACCAUGAAUUCACAAAUAGUAGCUGGAGGCUUUAUUUACCUCAAACGCAAAUAGAAGCAGAGAUUUCUUUGAAAUUGUAGAGAGUCUUUUACUCCUCACUUUAGGCCUUUGUUUCUCCCAGAGACAUUGGAAAUGUGACAGUAGAGCAUCUUCGACACUUAGAGGACAGGACACCACAUACUUUAGUUUUCUGCACACAUGUGUUUAUCUGUUUGACAUGAAACGCCUCAAAGUGCUACAGGACUGGGACUUUCUCUAGUUAAUCAACCAUCUGCAGAAGGUGUAAAGUUCUGCAGGAUUGAUGGAAAUCAACCAGUAACUGAUGAUAGUUUUUUCCGGACAAAGAGAAAAAACGAGAGCAACAGAUCAAUGUCAACAUGAGGAUUGUGUUUUUGUACGGCUGAAUUUAAUGCUAAAUAAAAGAUUAUGCUGAAUUUCAGAUUAAAGUAAUGUUGUUGUGUAGCCUGUAAUAUACCCAGUUAUCAUUACAGGCUUUAUUGUUCAAAACAAACAAGGUGCUUACAGUCCAUUCCACAAAUUUGGAGAAUCACACACUCAAAACAAAACUUCACCUUCAAUGUACCUAGUAGUCUCAACAACAGGGCAAGAAGGAGGGGUCGACAUCGGGGCCUCGGGCCCCUCGUGCUGGAAAGAAGCUUUUGUCCAGCACUUGACAAAAGGUCUCGCCUUGAAGGUUAAAGGUUAAGAGAGGCCACUUCCGACCUUUACAUUCCAGUUUGCAGAAAUUCCUCCAGAAAGAUUGGUCCAGAACUUAAAGGGCUUGUAUCUUUCAGAACAUUUGCAUACGGUGAACUGAACAGUACACGCAUUGAGCAGACCCUAAAAGACCAACUGACACUAAGAAGAAUGGAGCAGAUUCCUUGCAUGGACAAACUGACCAUUCGUUAAUUUUAGAUUCAUAUGCUUUAUGAAUGCGCUUGAGGAAGGUUUCCCUCCAAACUACAAAAACCAAAGAUGUCUAUUGAAAUAUCCACAGGUAAUGGAAAGACAUUUAUCAAUACAGCAGCAAUGAUGUGCUACAACUCAAGAAAUAAACACUGUGUAGCCAGUUCAUGAAGUCUCCAGCAUUCCAUACAUUCAAUUUGCACUUACAAUCUCUCUCUGAAGUAGCAGUAGCGUAUAUCUUUAAUUUGAACUUUUAGUGUUUAAGAUUGUACGAGAAAUCUGAUCGCGGGUAUCCUUUCAAACUGGAAGAAGAGAUUGUGUAAUCGCUGCGUCACAUAAUGAUCGAGCCUCGGGUGCUCACAGGGUGACAUGAAGACGCUGUGGUCAGGAAAACGUUGUUGCUCCUUUCAACCACGACAAAUGGCCGUGCAAACCGGAUCCGCUCUUUCCAUUCUCCCCUUUCACAACCAAAGCCCAUGACGUGCAACAUUCACAGGUAUUUCACGUGGAAAUGGUAUAAGGCCUAAAAUGUUCGUGUUGGCAAACUCCCACACACACUGAUGGGUAAAGGGAAUUUUUAAAUCAGCAAAAAUGCGGAAGAAGAGUUGAAAAAGUCAAUGAAACCCAGAGGAAGAAAGUCGAGGUCACCUCAGGUCAAAACAACAACUGAGGGCAUGAAAUAAAUGUGUGAGUUGUGUCGGCUUUUUGGGGAGCAUUGCUUCUGUACCCGAAUGGCCUGCAAUGGGCCUGUGAGCUGCGUUGCAAAGCAUGCUGGGGGCUUUGCAAGUGUCUCUGAAGAGAAACUCUUAAAUUAGAGAUUUUCAGGGCGCGCACACGCACACACACACACACAAACACGCAGACAUGGAAAACAGUGCGACGCGUUUUAAAGCUCAUCUGCAAACUGAUUCUGUCAGGGCGACUUAGUGACGUGCGGCUGCCUCCUACAGCUUUCCUCCAUAACGGCGGCGGCCUGCAUCGGCGUUGUGCCGUCCACCGGGGAGCAGGAGAGGCGGCGGGCUCUAAAUAGAGCCUCCCUCGGUUAAAUAUUAACACUCGCCUUCCUCUGACAGAGAGCAGGCCGCCGUGUCGCCUUCCAUCUCCACCACGGGGAGAUGCAACACAGCAUAGCACUCAACCGCACUCCGACAGCAACGCAUGGACACCACACCAGACGGACGCGACGCAUACACAGGAAUUAAGUUGAGCUUGUGCUUUGAAAAGGUUGAGGGCCCUUUUUUAUUUUAACAGUCAUCAUACAAACUUUUUUUGAUCUGCUUUCCAUGAUUACACAGCAGUCUGUUUUCAUACAAAAGAAUACUGAAAUCUACUGUUUUUCAAAAACGUUCUUUCUUGCAAUACAUUUCCUGCUUUUUAAAUCUUUAAUGCUUCUGUUGUAUUUUAUGCUGAAACGUUCUUUCAGAUUUUUCUCAAAGAUUGAAGAUAAAUAUGUUUAGAAGCAGUUGUCAAAUCAUCAUCAUUGGGCAAAUAAAAGUUAAACACAAUGCAAUGAGUUACUGGCGGCAUGAAGCUAGUUUCACUGCAGAUGUGUGUGCCCCCUCUCACACACACACACACACACAC